UGGCGCACAAGGUCUGUUUGAAUUGAGCUCCAAGGGCCUGUAUUUAUAGCAAUUGGGACUGAUAUAUGCACACUUGAAAAAUUGCUAAAUUUGGACAUUUAAUGCACAAGCUUGCAUGGGCGUGUACAUGCUUAUGAAGCAAUCCAAUUUGAUCCACUUGCAUAUGUCCUGGAGUUCAAAUGAGGCUUGGAUGUCAAGGCAAUGUGAAGUGUUAUUUUUGGCAUUUAAUUUCUUCCAAUCAGGCAGCUCUGUU
This 253-nucleotide long non-coding RNA is filed under the name Lathyrus oleraceus (garden pea). Its description in RNAcentral is "Pisum sativum (pea) long non-coding RNA (PSAT_LNC041807)". Lineage: Eukaryota; Viridiplantae; Streptophyta; Magnoliopsida; Fabales; Fabaceae. The record is from RNAcentral.